Molecule: long non-coding RNA, 667 nt
Organism: Myotis brandtii (Brandt's bat)
Lineage: Eukaryota; Metazoa; Chordata; Mammalia; Chiroptera; Vespertilionidae
Exons: 3
Source: RefSeq, a predicted model, not a curated record
UUAAUGGGAGGAAGGGAGAAUAUAAGAAAUAUUGGGGUAUUUUUUUCUGCCUGGAAAAACAUCAUCUGCAGCAAUGCAAGUGAGGCUGGCGGUGCAGAAAAAGGUGGGGAGGGGGCGCUUAAUGCACAUUUAAUGUUUUGGACAAAACGUUCCACCGAAAUGCCUUUGUGUGUGGAGGUUUUUUCAGUACUUGCUAAAAAUAGCAUCAGGGUUUGAUCGUGUUCCAGAAAUAGACCGAGGGCUGCACUGGGAUAAAAAGCCAGCGCGGGUGGAAGAAAACCUGGACAUCACCGCAAUCCCUCCCCCCAACUAUGUCUGGAAAUUAAUUGUUGGAUUUUUCCUCUCCUCUCUUCUGUCUCCUUCUCUCUGUCCACUUUCUCUUCCUUCCCCCUAUGUUUCUUUUUCUCUCUUAAGGAGUUCCCGUUUGGGUGCUCAAACCUGUCCUGACACCUGGAGGUCUGCAUGAGGGGUGGCCACCGGAGGAGGGGGUCUCAGAGGUCACAGGAGCUGAAGGGUCCAGUCAAGUGAGCUCUGGCAUCCCAGGAGUCUCCUGCUGAAGAAAGAAUCUAAAGAGAUGCCUAAGUUCCAGGGAAUUUUCCUCUAAGACUAAUAACAUCAAGAUAGUUUUGAUUUUAUUUAUUUAUGGUCAUUGUUUUUCUCUACAUGA